GAGGUUUGGCACCUCGAUGUCGGCUCAUCGCAUCCUGGGGCUGAAGCAGGUCCCAAGGGUUGGGCUGUUCGCCCAUUAAAGCGGUACGCGAGCUGGGUUUAGAACGUCGUGAGACAGUUCGGUCCCUAUCUGCUGCGGGCGUAGGAGAUUUGCGGGGAUCUGUCCCUAGUACGAGAGGACCGGGAUGGACGAACCUCUAGUGUGCCAGUUGUUCUGCCAAGGGCAUCGCUGGGUAGCUAUGUUCGGAAGGGAUAAACGCUGAAAGCAUCUAAGUGCGAAGCCCACCCCAAGAUGAGAUCUCCCGGGCGCAAGCCCCUAAAGACCCCUUGUAGAUCACAAGGUUGAUAGGCCAGAUGUGUAAGCGCAGGAAUGCGUUCAGCUUACUGGUACUAAUCGGUCGUGCGGCUUGACCCC
Molecule: ribosomal RNA, 414 nt
Filed under: Candidatus Methylomirabilis lanthanidiphila
Lineage: Bacteria; Methylomirabilota (SeqCode); Methylomirabilia (SeqCode); Methylomirabilales (SeqCode); Methylomirabilaceae (SeqCode)
Description: partial 23S ribosomal RNA
Rfam family: Bacterial large subunit ribosomal RNA
Source: RNAcentral